CCUACGGGGGGCUGCAGUGGGGAAUAUUGGGCAAUGGAGGCAACUCUGACCCAGCAACGCCGCGUGAAUGAUGAAGGUCUUCGGAUUGUAAAGUUCUGUGAUGGGGGAUGAACACAAUGACGGUACCCCAAUAGCAAGCCACGGCUAACUACGUGCCAGCAGCCGCGGUAAUACGUAGGUGGCAAGUGUUAUCCGGAAUGACUGGGCGUAAAGGGUGCGUAGGUGGUUUAGUAAGUUGGCGGUGUAAUUCCGGGGCUCAACCUCGGCGCUACCGCCAAAACUAUUAGACUAGAGUGCAGGAGGGGUAAGUGGAAUUCCUAGUGUAGCGGUGGAAUGCGUAGAUAUUAGGAGGAACAUCAGGGGCGAAGGCGACUUACUGGGCCGUAAUUGACGCUGAGGAACGAAAGCCAGGGUAGCAAAUGGGAUUAGAUACCCCUGUAGUC
RNAcentral lists this ribosomal RNA (443 nucleotides) under uncultured bacterium. RNAcentral's name for it is "partial 16S ribosomal RNA". It matches the Rfam family "Bacterial small subunit ribosomal RNA", at positions 338 to 795 of the family's 1533-position model. The record is from RNAcentral.